RNAcentral lists this ribosomal RNA (440 nucleotides) under uncultured bacterium. RNAcentral describes it as "partial 16S ribosomal RNA". It matches the Rfam family "Bacterial small subunit ribosomal RNA", at positions 338 to 795 of the family's 1533-position model. The record is from RNAcentral.
CCUACGGGAGGCAGCAGUAGGGAAUAUUGCUCAAUGGGGGAAACCCUGAUGCAGCAACGCCGCGUGGAUGAUGAAGGUUUUCGGAUUGUAAACUCCUUUUGUUAGAGAAGAUAAUGACGGUAUCUAACGAAUCAGCACCGGCUAACUCCGUGCCAGCAGCCGCGGUAAUACGGAGGGUGCAAGCGUUACUCGGAAUCACUGGGCGUAAAGAGCGCGUAGGCGGGAUAGCAAGUCAGAUGUGAAAUCCUAUGGCUUAACCAUAGAACUGCAUUUGAAACUGUUAUUCUAGAGUAUGGGAGAGGUAGGUGGAAUUCUUGGUGUAGGGGUAAAAUGCGUAGAGAUCAAGAGGAAUACUCAUUGCGAAGGCGACCUGCUAGAACAUAACUGACGCUGAUGUGCGAAAGCGUGGGGAGCAAACAGGAUUAGAUACCCGUGUAGUC